Molecule: long non-coding RNA, 2157 nt
Organism: Cyprinus carpio carpio
Lineage: Eukaryota; Metazoa; Chordata; Actinopteri; Cypriniformes; Cyprinidae
Source: Ensembl
AUGCUAAGAAGGCCUCGGCCAAGAAGCCCUGACGCCAGAGACCCAGGGCGUCAGAGGGCAGCCUCUGCUGGGGUAGAGCGGUGCACACCGCAUUACACGGUGCCCGUCUCGCCUCAGCGUCCUCUGGGGGCCGGUCUGCCAACCCUGCCAGUGUUCCAGGGCGCAGCGGUCCCCAGCGAGCAUCAUUCUCAGUAUCUUCCGCCCGUGCGCGUAGCGGGGCUGAGACGCUCGCCACCCCUGCGGGGGCCUCUUACACCAGAGGUCAGUCUCGAGAGACUGAUUCCCUUAGUAGAUUAUUUGCCAGCGUGGAAACUACUGCCAAAUGUAUCUCAAUGGGUCCUGCACACGGUAGAGAAAGGUUACCGUAUUCAGUUCGGCUCUGCACCGCCGAUGUUCAACGGGGUUACUCCGACGAUAGUCGGCCCCGAGCAGGGUCUGGUUAUGGAACAAGAAGUGAAAGCCCUAUUAGAGAAGGAGGCCAUCGAGGUGGUCCCUCCUCAAGACAGGGAAUCCGGAUUUUACAGCCGGUAUUUCAUAGUUCCAAAGAAGGAUGGGGGGGUUGCGUCCGAUCAUAGACCUGCGGGUCUUAAAUCGAUCAGUUAUGAGACUGAAGUUCAAGAUGCUCACGAUCAAGCAUGUUGUAGCGCAGAUCAGAUCCGAGGACUGGUUUGUCACAAUAGAUCUCAAAGAUGCAUACUUCCACAUAUCCAUCCUUCCACAACACAGGAAGUUUCUGAGGUUUGCUUUCGGGGCGAAGCUUACCAAUAUCGAGUACUUCCCUUUGGCCUCGCACUCUCACCCCGCACGUUCACGAAAUGUGUAGAUGCGGCUCUGGUCCCCCUGCGCAUGCAGGGCAUCCGCAUUCUCAACUACAUCGACGAUUGGUUGAUUUUUAGCUCAGUCAGAGCAGGCUGCGGCUCGGCAUCGAGAUGUCGUUCUCGCACAUAUGGGGGAGCUGGGUUUGAGACUGAACGCCAAGAAGAGUGUACUUUCUCCAGUUCAGAGAACCACCUAUCUAGGCGUAGUAUGGGAUUCGACCACGAUGCAGGCACGAUUGUCCCCUGCUCGUAUCGAGUCGAUCCUCAUCUCAGUCGAGAGAGUCAAAGAAGGCCAUUCACUCACUGUCAAACAAUUUCAGAAAUUGUUGGGUCUGAUGGCAGCUGCGUCCAACGUGAUACCUUUUGGCCUGCUGUACAUGAGACCCCUACAGUGGUGGCUCAAGACCAAGGGAUUUUCCCCGAGGGGCAAUCCACUUCGAACUAUCAAGGUCACGCAGCGCUGCCUCCGUGCCUUAGACAUGUGGAAGAAACCUUGGUUCUUGAAUCAGGGCCCAGUGCUGGGAGCUCCUGGUCGCCGUGUAACACUAGCGACGGAUGCUUCCCUCACUGGUUGGGGUGCGGUAAUGAGUGGCCACCCUGCCCGCGGUCUGUGGAGCGGUCGCCAUCUGACAUGGCAUAUCAAUUGUCUAGAAAUGCUAGCAGUUUAUCGUGCACUGAAGCACUUCCUCCCAGACCUAAGGGAUCACCAUGUGUUGGUGCGCACCGACAACACAUCGGUGGUCUCUUACAUCAACCACCAGGGAGGUCUGCGUUCGCGCCCCUUGUACAAGCUGGCGCACCAGAUCCUUGUGUGGUCCCAGGGCAAACUCCUCUCACUCAGAGCAGUAUAUAUUCCUGGGAAACUGAAUGUGGGAGCAGACAUACUGUCGAGGCAGGGGCCGAGGCCCGGGGAAUGGAAGCUUCACCCCGAGGUGGUGGAGCAGAUAUGGAGAAUUUUUGGCAGAGCUCAAGUAGACCUCUUUGCAACUCAGGAGACAGCACAAUGUCCCCUUUGGUUCUCUCUAGUUCAUCCAGCUCCCCUGGGACUGGACGCUAUGGUACAGACCUGGCCGAGGCUUCGUCUGUACGCAUUUCCCCUAUUGCUCUGCUCCCGGGAGUUCUGGCGAGAGUACGCCGGGACGGGGUCCGUCUAUUGUUAGUAGCCCCGUUCUGGCCGGGCCGAGUAUGGUUCGCAGAUCUGGUCUCGCUCCUCGACGGCUCUCCUUGGGAGAUACCGAUCAGGACAGACCUACUCUCACAGGCGCAGGGCACGAUAAUUCACCCUCGCCCGGAGCUGUGGAAGCUGUGGGUGUGGCCCCUGAGGGGGCGCAGUUCAUAG